This 97-nucleotide transfer RNA is filed under the name Monodelphis domestica (gray short-tailed opossum). It matches the Rfam family "tRNA". Rfam says of the family: Transfer RNA (tRNA) molecules are approximately 80 nucleotides in length. Their secondary structure includes four short double-helical elements and three loops (D, anti-codon, and T loops). The record is from Rfam by way of RNAcentral. Lineage: Eukaryota; Metazoa; Chordata; Mammalia; Didelphimorphia; Didelphidae.
GCUCCAGUGGCGCAAUCGGUUAGCGCGCGGUACUUAUAGGGCAGUACUUGUGGUGCGAGAAAUGCCGAGGUUGUGAGUUCGAUCCUCACCUGGAGCA